This is a non-coding RNA of Cinara cedri, 219 nucleotides long. The record is from the annotation of a GenBank genome assembly. Lineage: Eukaryota; Metazoa; Arthropoda; Insecta; Hemiptera; Aphididae.
AUUAUUAUUGAUUACGAUUUGUCUUUCACUACUCACAUUAAUACUAUUACUAAAAAAUCCUUUAAGAUGCUUGGCUUUAUCAACCGAAACACAGUUAAUUUUAAAAAUAUAAAUGCCUUGAAAACAUUAUUUUUUGCGCUUGUUAGAUCUCAUCUUGAGUUUGGAUCAAUAGUCUGGUCACCUAGUUACAUCACAUUUAUUAAUUCGAUUGAAAAUGUA